AACGAACGCUGGCGGCAUGCCUAACACAUGCAAGUCGAACGAGACCUUCGGGCCUAGUGGCGCACGUGUGCGUCACGCGUGGGAACCUGCCCUUAGGUUCGGAAUAACUCCCCGAAAGGGGUGCUAAUACCGGAUAAUGUCUUCGGACCAAAGAUUUAUCGCCUUUGGAUGGGCCCGCGUUGGAUUAGCUAGUUGGUAGGGUAAAAGCCUACCAAGGCGACGAUCCAUAGCUGGUCGGAGAGGAUGCUCAGCCACACUGGGACUGAGACACGGCCCAGACUCCUGCGGGAGGCAGCAGUGGGGAAUAUUAGACAAUGGGAGAAAGCCUGAUCCAGCAAUGCCGCGUGAAUGAUGAAGGCCUUAGGGUUGUAAAGCUCUUUUACCCGGGAUGAUAAUGACAGUACCGGGAGAAUAAGCUCGGGCUAACUCCGUG
This 433-nucleotide ribosomal RNA is filed under the name uncultured bacterium. RNAcentral's name for it is "partial 16S ribosomal RNA". It matches the Rfam family "Bacterial small subunit ribosomal RNA", at positions 29 to 507 of the family's 1533-position model. The record is from RNAcentral.